CCUGAGGAAAAGAAGGUUCAGUGACAGGCCCCAAGUGGGAUCCAGCUCAAGGGGAGGCUCUAAGACCUGACACCAUUACUGAGGCUAUAGGCAUUCACAAACAGGGACCUAUCAUGACUGCCCUCCAAAAGACCCAACAAGCAGCUGAAAGAGUCAGGUGCAGAUAUGUGCACCCAAUCAAUGAACGGAAGCUGCUGACCUCUCUGGUUGAAUUAGGGAAAAGCUGGAGGAAGCUGAGGAGGAGGGCAACCCUGUAGGAGGACCAGCAGUCUCCUGGACCCCCAAGAUCUCUCAGACACUCAACCAACAACCAGGCAGCAUCCACCAGCUGAGAUGAGGCCUCCCUCCCACACAUAUAUCGCAGAGGACUGCCUGGUCUGGGUUCAGUCAGAGAAGAUGCAUCUAACCCUCAAGUGAAGUUUAGAGGUCUGGUGGGGAGGGUGAAGAGGGGACAUCCUUUGGAGACACCGGGGGUGGGUGUUAUGGGAUGUGGAUCUGUCAGGGGGAUAGACUGGGAGGGGAAUAAAAUCCGGAGUAUAAAAAUAAAUAAAUAAAAUUUAAGAGAAA
Molecule: long non-coding RNA, 567 nt
Filed under: Rattus norvegicus (Norway rat)
Lineage: Eukaryota; Metazoa; Chordata; Mammalia; Rodentia; Muridae
Description: long non-coding RNA NONRATT026859
Source: RNAcentral